This 87-nucleotide small RNA is filed under the name Salix viminalis (osier). The record is from RNAcentral. Lineage: Eukaryota; Viridiplantae; Streptophyta; Magnoliopsida; Malpighiales; Salicaceae.
UCCUCUUUAUGAUGGGAAAAAUGAUCCAUUGGCUUGGCUAAGUCGUUGUGACCAUUUUUUUCAACACCAACAUAUUCCAGAGGAGGA